This 253-nucleotide ribosomal RNA is filed under the name uncultured bacterium. RNAcentral's name for it is "partial 16S ribosomal RNA". It matches the Rfam family "Bacterial small subunit ribosomal RNA", at positions 524 to 776 of the family's 1533-position model. The record is from RNAcentral.
GACAGAGGUGCCGAGCGUUAGGCGGAAUCACUGGGCUUAAAGCGUGUGUAGGCGGACCGUUAAGUGCCUUGUGAAAUCCCCCGGCUCAACCGGGGAACGGCUGGGCAUACUGGCGGUCUUGAGCCACCUAGGGGCGAGCGGAACAAGCGGUGGAGCGGUGAAAUGCGUAGAUAUCGCUUGGAACGCCGACGGUGAAAACAGCUCGCUGGGGGUGUGCUGACGCUGAGACACGAAAGCCAGGGGAGCGAACGGG